This 439-nucleotide small RNA is filed under the name Pan troglodytes (chimpanzee). RNAcentral's name for it is "retained intron". Lineage: Eukaryota; Metazoa; Chordata; Mammalia; Primates; Hominidae. The record is from RNAcentral.
UGUGUCAACAGUUUUCAGUAGGCUGGGUCUUCUGAAAGCACCGUUCUUUGCAGGGGUCCAUCUAUGGUCAUGAUUCUGACCAAGUGGAAUGCUGUUGCAGAAUGGAGACGAUUGAUGGGCCCAACAGACCCAGAAGAAGCAAAAGUACUUUCCCCUGACUCCAUCCGAGCCCAGUUUGGAAUAAGUAAAUUGAAAAACAUUGUCCAUGGAGCAUCUAAUGCCUAUGAAGCAAAAGAGGUUGUUAAUAGACUCUUUGAGGAUCCUGAGGAAAACUAAAGUAUAUACUGUGAAAACUUUGAGAAGAUAAUACAUAUGUUCACAUCAAUAUACAACCAUUUGGCACAGCUUCCUGGGAGGAAUAAGAAAAACAUGCUUUGGAGGAAAACUCAAGAUACAAAAAUGAAUGGCUAUGCAUAAUAACAAUAAAAAUGUAUUCCCC